UUUGAACUCAGAAUUAAAAUUGC
Molecule: non-coding RNA, 23 nt
Filed under: Cricetulus griseus (Chinese hamster)
Lineage: Eukaryota; Metazoa; Chordata; Mammalia; Rodentia; Cricetidae
Source: RNAcentral